Molecule: ribosomal RNA, 497 nt
Filed under: uncultured bacterium
Lineage: Bacteria
Description: bacterial SSU rRNA
Rfam family: Bacterial small subunit ribosomal RNA
Source: RNAcentral
GAUCAUGGCUCAGAUUGAACGCUGGCGGCAUGCCUUACACAUGCAAGUCGAACGGCAGCACGGGAGCAAUCCUGGUGGCGAGUGGCGAACGGGUGAGUAAUAUAUCGGAACGUGCCCAGUCGUGGGGGAUAACUACUCGAAAGAGUGGCUAAUACCGCAUACGAUCUACGGAUGAAAGCGGGGGACCUUAGGGCCUCGCGCGAUUGGAGCGGCCGAUAUCAGAUUAGGUAGUUGGUAGGGUAAAAGCCUACCAAGCCUGCGAUCUGUAGCUGGUCUGAGAGGACGACCAGCCACACUGGAACUGAGACACGGUCCAGACUCCUACGGGAGGCAGCAGUGGGGAAUAUUGGGCAAUGGAGGAAACUCUGACCCAGCGACGCCGCGUGAGGGAUGAAGGCCUUCGGGUUGUAAACCUCUUUCAGUAGGGAAGAAACGAUACCGACGAAUAAUCGGUGUUAAUGACGGUACCUUGAUAAGAAGCACCGGCUAACUACGUG